This 305-nucleotide unclassified non-coding RNA is filed under the name plant metagenome. RNAcentral describes it as "partial contains 5.8S ribosomal RNA, internal transcribed spacer 2, and large subunit ribosomal RNA". The stretch from base 1 to 105 matches the Rfam family "5.8S ribosomal RNA", at positions 50 to 154 of the family's 154-position model. The record is from RNAcentral.
GAAAUGCGAUAAGUAAUGUGAAUUGCAGAAUUCAGUGAAUCAUCGAAUCUUUGAACGCACAUUGCGCCCGCCAGUAUUCUGGCGGGCAUGCCUGUUCGAGCGUCAUUUCAACCAUCAAGCCCCCGGCUUGUGUUGGGGACCUGCGGCUGCCCGCAGGCCCUGAAAAACAGUGGCGGGCUCGCUGUCACACCGAGCGUAGUAGCAUACAUUCUCGCUCAGGGCGUGCUGCGGGUUCCGGGCGUUAAACGACCUUCAUAACCCAAGGUUGACCUCGGAUCAGGUAGGAAGACCCGCUGAACUUAAGC